Molecule: long non-coding RNA, 3398 nt
Filed under: Nicotiana tabacum (common tobacco)
Lineage: Eukaryota; Viridiplantae; Streptophyta; Magnoliopsida; Solanales; Solanaceae
Description: long non-coding RNA (NTAB_LNC004894)
Source: RNAcentral
CAGGUGAGUAUUUCUAAAGAGUAGUACAUAAAGUAAUUAAAAUUCAAUUGCAAAAGAAAAAAAUAGGAAAUUGAUGGAAUUUUUUCCAUCAAGUUUUGAUUCUCCCAUGCGUUUUAUUUGUUGAGUGGACAAAGAGAGCCGCUCAAAAUUUUGUCCAAAAAUGAUUCUGAGCUCGUGGAUGUGAGAUCUUCAAGCCCAUAACCUGUACUAGAUUUGGAAUGAAAGAAAGUGAGUAUUUAAAACGUGUUAUAUGUUUAUGGCUACGUACUGAAGAUCUUAGAAUUGAAACGUGGGGAAUAUAAUCUAUAGCUACGCCAAAUAAGUUUGAUUUUCCUUUUUGUUUUUUUGGUCCUAUCAAAAGUUCUUCUUCCUAAACCCCUCAUCUACCCUAUGUCUUCCAUGAAUAAAAUUUUAAAAUGAUUAUUUUCCUUUUCUAAAGCUUAUUUUUCAGAUCUAUUAUUGAGCUAUAUAGUAUAUAUACUAAAGAAACCAUACUAAUAAUAAAGCAUAUAGUUUUUCGAGAAUUUAUUUCCCAUACAAGAAGCUUUUUUUGUUCAAGUAUUUUUUUUUCUUAAUGAUAAAGCACAUUUUGUAUUAUUUUCUAUUUUUAAGGAAAUUAUUUUUAAAACCAUUUUAUGCUUUAUUACAUUUUAAAAAAAAUGCGUUAUUACUUGAGUUUGACAACCUAAAAUAAAUCUUUAAGCUAAUAAUCAUCACAUUAAAGGUAAUCUUCGGAUGCUGAUUAACUUGUAUGAAGUGAUAACAAUGUCACUUCCACAAUUAUUAGAAAGAAAAUUAUGGUUAAAGAAGGGGGCAAAAGAAUAUGAUUACAUGUACUUCAUUCGUAUUCCAAUUAAACUAAGUAGAAAAGGACAGCGGUGAGACAAGGAUUCGGUCUUACAUAAUAGCAGUGGAUAUAGAACACGUUUUCAAAGAAAGCCAGAAAGAUAGAAGUUUCCUUUUUUAGAAGAACCGAUUUCAUUUUAGUCACAUGUCAAGCCCUUUAACUGCUAUCUCUAGUUUUGAAGAGAAGCUCCCACCUCCAAGUUGCUUAUGAAAUUGACAGCUACCUUAUGUUUUUGUUGGUAUUUAAAGACAAUGGGCCCCUUUUCCGUACAUUAGAAGUUUUAAUAGUAUAAUACUCUCUUUCGUUUCAAUUUAGAUGAGAUAGUUACACACGAUACGGAGUUUAAGAGAAAAGAGGAAGACUUUUAAAACUUGUGAUUGUAAAAGCUUAAGGGGUAAAAACUUUGUAGGCAUGACAUUUGUUUUAUUAUAAAAACUUCUCACUAAAGGUAAAAUAAGUAAAGUGAAAAGUUUAAAGUUGAAUUACUCCCUCUGUUUCAAUUUAUGUGAACAUGUUUGACUGGACACGGAGUUUAAGAAUAAAUGAAGAUUUUUGAAAUUUGUGGUCCUAAACAAUUAAAAAAGGACCCAGAGUAUUUGUGUGGUUAUAAAAACUUCUCAUUAAGGGUAGAAUUGUAAGUUUAAGCAAAAUUAUUUCCAAAUUUAGAAAGGGAUCAUUCUUUUUUGAACGGCCAAAAAGGAAAUAGGUUCACAUAAAUUGGAACGGAGGUAAUAUUUUCAGCUAUAGAAAUGUGUCAUUCUUUUUGGAACAGACUAAUAAAGAAAGUAUGUCAUCUAAAUUGAAACGGAGAAAGUACUCACAUGAUUAAUCCCAUUGGAUGCUUGUGAUCUCUCCACCGUUAGAUAUCUUGAAUUUGAGUGAUAAGAAUGAAGAUUUUCUUGAUAACUUGUGCUUUACCUUCUUGGCACAAAUCUAAACUAGUCAGAAUUAAUGGGCUUGGGAUACAAGAUAGUUAAACAUAACAAAAAAUAAUUAGUAGUAUGUGAAAACAAGAUCGCCAGUGUUUUAACACCAUGAUUGAAAAACUAGAAUCCUUUAAGAAAUUGCUAGCCUGUGUUAAGAUAUAUAUUGCAAUUAAAUAAUUAAAAUUAUGCUUUUUUUUAAAUAAUUUAUGUAAGUUAUUAUAUGUUGACAUGAGGUUAAGAUAACCACUUUGUUAGUACUUGUUUCUGCAUAUGCUUAAAGGACAAAACAGAAACAAAAAGAAGACACUAGCUAGCUUGGCCCACAAAAUAAAUCACUAGAUAUAUAAUGCAAGAAAUUUUACAAGGGUGACAAAUUGCAUUUUCAAAAGUGAUAGCAGACAAUUUUUGUUGUUGUUUAUUUAUUAAGUCAUCAGCUGCUAGUCAAAUCCUAACUGCCACAAAAGGGGCUUUAUUUCAUCAGUCAAGAAGUCGUUUAUCAAAUAUAUUUUCUUUUCCUCAAUUGCAAAGGAAAAGGUAUUCUUUUGAUGUGUGAAUGAGUAUAUACAAUUAAAUGUGACAAUCAUCAAAAUUGAUUUUUUCCAAAAAUUUCCUUUAAAUAUUGAACGAUAGUUUAUAUAAUGUAACACUAAAACUUACUAGUAUUAUAUUAUGUGGCUACUGAUAGUGUAACGUUACCAUAAAACUAGUUGGCGACGAUUAGGCAUUGCAAAGACUUUUGUAUUCUUCAUCAGCUUGGCAUCAUCUUCAGCUUACUCUAAUGUUUGAUGGUUUCUUUCAAUUUGUUACUUUUUUGGAGGCAUUGGUGACUCUACUUUUGGAGAAGUUGUAAGUGUAAUUGGAGUGGUGUCCUGUGGGGAGGAUUUCUCUAGUUUCAACGUUUUGUAAGUUGAGUUUCGUUUAAAUAAUAAAUAGGAGAAGGAGGCAAACGUGACUUUGAAUUUCAACCACAGAACAUGACAGGCAUUAUUUUUCAACCAUAAACGUGAUUGAAAUGCUUAUUUCAAUUAUGAAAAACCUUUAAUCUAACUUUGUGGGCCAUGAACAUAUUGACACUCUUACCAACAUCUUACGGGAAAAAAUUAAUACUUUAUAUUAUUUCUUUAUUGGAGUAGUAUGUUACUUAUAAAGUAAUUGAUCUAGCAGAUCUAGUAACCAUGUAUAUUUCAGUCUCAUGUUAAAGAUGUUACUAGAAUGUUACUGAAUAUUAAAGUGUUAACUAUAGGACCUUGUGUAUUAAUUUGUUCUUAAUACAUUACUUUUAUCUGUUCUUGAAGAUAAUUUCUCCUCCCUCAUGUCCAAUGAGCUUUUUCAUUAUGCUUUCUUUCAAGAUAUAGUUAGCAUAUAUCCUCUUUUUGCAUUGAUAAUAUAUAUUUAUGAAAGGAAACAGUUCUAGAGUUGUAAUACAUAGUGCAUGUCGAGGUCAGAUGCAAAUUUAGGACAGAUUCAACUGGAUCCAUUGCUUUCAGUUCGAAAACCAUGCACUAACUCGAAAUAUUGAAUCCGUUUUUGACAUAGGUGGUCAAAAAUUGCAAAGCAUUUGCCUGGAAGAACAGAUAAUGAGAUAAAGAACUAUUGGAGGACAAGGAUUCAGAAGCACAUAAAGC